GAUGAACGCUGGCGGCGUGCCUAAUACAUGCAAGUCGAGCGAAAAGACGAGGAGCUUGCUCCUCUGACGUUAGCGGCGGAGGGGUGAGUAACAUGUGGAUAACCUACCUAUAAGACUGGGAUAACUUCGGGAAACCGGAGCUAAUACCGGAUAAUAUAUUGAACCGCAUGGUUCAAUAGUGAAAGACGGUUUUGCUGUCACUUAUAGAUGGAUCCGCGCCGCAUUAGCUAGUUGGUAAGGUAACGGCUUACCAAGGCAACGAUGCGUAGCCGAGCUGAGAGGGUGAUCGGCCACACUGGAACUGAGACACGGUCCAGACUCCUACGGGAGGCAGCAGUAGGGAAUCUUCCGCAAUGGGCGAAAGCCUGACGCAGCAACGCCGCGUGAGUGAUGAAGGUCUUCGGAUCGUAAAACUCUGUUAUGAGGGAAGAACAAAUGUGUAAGUAACUAUGCACGUCUUGACGGUACCUAAUCAGAAAGCCACGGCUAACUACGUG
This 497-nucleotide ribosomal RNA is filed under the name uncultured bacterium. Its description in RNAcentral is "partial 16S ribosomal RNA". It matches the Rfam family "Bacterial small subunit ribosomal RNA", at positions 28 to 507 of the family's 1533-position model. The record is from RNAcentral.